RNAcentral lists this ribosomal RNA (881 nucleotides) under Phytophthora rubi. RNAcentral's name for it is "eukaryotic LSU rRNA". The stretch from base 263 to 417 matches the Rfam family "5.8S ribosomal RNA". Lineage: Eukaryota; Oomycota; Peronosporomycetes; Peronosporales; Peronosporaceae. The record is from RNAcentral.
CACGUUAGAUGACUGACGGUAGGACAUUACCACACCUAAUAACUUUCCACGUGAACCGUAUCAACCCACUUAGUUGGGGGCCUGUCCUGGCGGCUGGCUGUCGAUGUCAAAGUUGACGGCUGCUGCUGUGUGUCGGGCCCUAUCAUGGCGAGCGUUUGGGUCCCUCUCGGGGGAACUGAGCCAGUAGCCCUUUUCUUUUAAACCCAUUCUUGAAUACUGAAUAUACUGUGGGGACGAAAGUCUCUGCUUUUAACUAGAUAGCAACUUUCAGCAGUGGAUGUCUAGGCUCGCACAUCGAUGAAGAACGCUGCGAACUGCGAUACGUAAUGCGAAUUGCAGGAUUCAGUGAGUCAUCGAAAUUUUGAACGCAUAUUGCACUUCCGGGUUAGUCCUGGGAGUAUGCCUGUAUCAGUGUCCGUACAUCAAACUUGGCUCUCUUCCUUCCGUGUAGUCGGUGGAAUGGGGACGCCAGACGUGAGGUGUCUUGCGGGUGGCCUUCGGGCUGCCUGCGAGUCCCUUGAAAUGUACUGAACUGUACUUCUCUUUGCUCGAAAAGCGAGACGGUGGUGGUUGGGGAAGGCUGCUUGUUGGCCAGUCCGCGACCGGUUUGUCUCUGCCGCGUUAAUGGAGGAGUGUUCAAUUGCGGAAUGGUUGGCUCGGCUGACAAUGGGCUUAUGGACGUUCUUCUGGUGGGGCGGUACGAUCGGUAACCGUUAGUUUGCAAGGCUUGCCUUUGACCGGCCGUGUUGUCCCAAGUAGGGUGCGGCUUCCGCUGUCGAGGGUCCAUCAAUUGCCAACUGUGUCUCUGCGCGCGCUUCGGGUGCGGCGGUGGCUUCUCAUUGAACUGAUAUCAGGAAAAAUACCGCUUAACUUACCUGAUC